AUGCCGCGUGAGUGAAGAAGGCCUUCGGGUUGUAAAGCUCUUUUGUCAGGGAAGAAACGGUGGUUUCUAAUACAGAUCACUAAUGACGGUACCUGAAGAAUAAGCACCGGCUAACUACGUGCCAGCAGCCGCGGUAAUACGUAGGGUGCAAGCGUUAAUCGGAAUUACUGGGCGUAAAGCGUGCGCAGGCGGUUUUGUAAGUCUGUCGUGAAAUCCCCGGGCUCAACCUGGGAAUUGCGAUGGAGACUGCAAGGCUAGAGUUUGGCAGAGGGGGGUAGAAUUCCACGUGUAGCAGUGAAAUGCGUAGAUAUGUGGAGGAACACCGAUGGCGAAGGCAGCCCCCUGGGUCAAGACUGACGCUCAUGCACGAAAGCGUGGGGAGCAAACAGGAUUAGAUACCCUGGUAGUCCACGCCCUAAACGAUGUCUACUAGUUGUCGGGUUUUAAUUAACUUGGUAACGCAGCUAACGCGUGAAGUAGACCGCCUGG
RNAcentral lists this ribosomal RNA (489 nucleotides) under bacterium 3.1. RNAcentral's name for it is "bacterial SSU rRNA". It matches the Rfam family "Bacterial small subunit ribosomal RNA", at positions 394 to 876 of the family's 1533-position model. The record is from RNAcentral.